RNAcentral lists this ribosomal RNA (530 nucleotides) under Niallia circulans. Its description in RNAcentral is "bacterial SSU rRNA". It matches the Rfam family "Bacterial small subunit ribosomal RNA", at positions 48 to 563 of the family's 1533-position model. The record is from RNAcentral. Lineage: Bacteria; Bacillati; Bacillota; Bacilli; Caryophanales; Bacillaceae.
CUAAUACAUGCAAGUCGAGCGGACUUUAAAAGCUUGCUUUUAAAGUUAGCGGCGGACGGGUGAGUAACACGUGGGCAACCUGCCUGUAAGACUGGGAUAACUUCGGGAAACCGGAGCUAAUACCGGAUAAUCCUUUUCCUCUCAUGAGGAAAAGCUGAAAGACGGUUUACGCUGUCACUUACAGAUGGGCCCGCGGCGCAUUAGCUAGUUGGUGAGGUAACGGCUCACCAAGGCGACGAUGCGUAGCCGACCUGAGAGGGUGAUCGGCCACACUGGGACUGAGACACGGCCCAGACUCCUACGGGAGGCAGCAGUAGGGAAUCUUCCGCAAUGGACGAAAGUCUGACGGAGCAACGCCGCGUGAGUGAUGAAGGUUUUCGGAUCGUAAAACUCUGUUGUUAGGGAAGAACAAGUACAAGAGUAACUGCUUGUACCUUGACGGUACCUAACCAGAAAGCCACGGCUAACUACGUGCCAGCAGCCGCGGUAAUACGUAGGUGGCAAGCGUUGUCCGGAAUUAUUGGGCGUAA